CCUACGGGGGGCAGCAGUGGGGAAUAUUGCACAAUGGGGGAAACCCUGAUGCAGCGACGCCGCGUGAGUGAAGAAGUAAUUCGUUAUGUAAAGCUCUAUCAGCAGGGAAGAAAAUGACGGUGCCUGUGUAAGAAGCCCCGGCUAACUACGUGCCAGCAGCCGCGGUAAUACGUAGGGGGCACGCGUUAUCCGGAUUUACUGGGCGUAAAGGGAGCGGAGACGGCAGUGCAAGUCUGGAGUGAAAGGCGGGGGCUCAACCCCCGGACUGCUCUGGAAACUGUACGGCUGGAGUGCAGGAGAGGUAAGUAGAAUGCCAAGUGUAGCGGUGAAAUGCGUAGAUAUUAGGAGGAACACCAGUGGCGAAGGCGGCUUACUGGACUGUAACUGACGUUGAGGCUCGAAAGCGUGGGGAGCAAACAGGAUUAGAUACCCGGGUAGUC
Molecule: ribosomal RNA, 440 nt
Filed under: uncultured bacterium
Lineage: Bacteria
Description: partial 16S ribosomal RNA
Rfam family: Bacterial small subunit ribosomal RNA
Source: RNAcentral